GAUGAACGCUGGCGGCGUGCCUAAUACAUGUAAGUCGAGCGAAUGGAUUAAGAGCUUGCUCUUAUGAAGUUAGCGGCGGACGGGUGAGUAACACGUGGGUAACCUGCCCAUAAGACUGGGAUAACUCCGGGAAACCGGGGCUAAUACCGGACAACAUUUUGAACCGCAUGGUUCGAAAUUGAAAGGCGGCUUCGGCUGUCACUUAUGGAUGGACCCGCGUCGCAUUAGCUAGUUGGUGAGGUAACGGCUCACCAAGGCAACGAUGCGUAGCCGACCUGAGAGGGUGAUCGGCCACACUGGGACCGAGACACGGCCCAGACUCCUACGGGAGGCAGCAGUAGGGAAUCUUCCGCAAUGGACGAAAGUCUGACGGAGCAACGCCGCGUGAGUGAUGAAGGCUUUCGGGUCGUAAAACUCUGUUGUUAGGGAAGAACAAGUGCUAGUUGAAUAAGCUGGCACCUUGACGGUACCUAACCAGAAAGCCACGGCUAACUACGUGCCAGCAGCCGCCGUAA
Molecule: ribosomal RNA, 515 nt
Filed under: uncultured bacterium
Lineage: Bacteria
Description: partial 16S ribosomal RNA
Rfam family: Bacterial small subunit ribosomal RNA
Source: RNAcentral